This is a long non-coding RNA of Aphis gossypii (cotton aphid), 1327 nucleotides long. RefSeq lists it as uncharacterized. The transcript is spliced from 3 exons. The record is from RefSeq and is a predicted model, not a curated record. Lineage: Eukaryota; Metazoa; Arthropoda; Insecta; Hemiptera; Aphididae.
UAUAAGAAGUUGUAGGUAUUCAUAAGGAUAAUGAGACUACUAAUGCAAUGUCUUGACCGGAACAACUCGUUUCAGCGGCGACAAGUUAAUUUUGUUCAAAACUUUUAGCCAUUUCACUUUCGGUUUGAACCUGUGAACGAAGACUGUCACCGAGACCACAUCAAAGUGCGAUAAACUGUGUGGUGAGUGGAUGCGGUUUAAGCUGACGAGAAAGACAACACGUCAUUUCAAACUUCAGUGCGUAUAAUAACUCGCGAACAGAGUUUUGGAUGUAUGGUUGUCGAGAAAAAUUGAUUUUACGUCUCGGUGGUGUGUCCACGGUGGUUGCAACGGAGGUUUCAGAAACAGAAUAUCCGUAGCAGUACGUUAUAUAUCAUUACUUGUGUGUGUAUUCGUCAUGGCGCUCGACGUGCAGCGUUUCGAAUCAACCGGAUGAUCGGCACUUUAUUAUACUUCGGAUAUUUAUACAGUGGAUGCCUAUAUAUAAUGUAUAAUUCUCGAAGUAAAAUAUUUUUCUCGCUGUUUGUUUAUUUUGGCACGUGUGUAUUGUAGCCGCACUGAAAAAUAAUAUAUCCUAUAAAAUUUAAAUAUAUAUAAUAAUAUAUAUGUCAGCUUUUUGAUAAAUAAUAACACGUAAGUCCGUUUUCUAUUUUAUAUCAUUUUUCAGUUUUUUUUUUUCGGAAGCAAGAUGGUGUUUUUUUUUUUUAAAGUCGAAAAUGGCAGUAACUCAAUUUCUCUAAGAAGGUAUUGUAAAUCGAAUAAAAUAUUAAGUACCCAUCAAACCCAGAAAACAAUAACUCGUUUUAAAUGCGUGCAGGACAGUUAUAAAAAUUGAGUAGCCACCUGCCGAUUUGUAACUUGAAAAGUAUUUGAGUCUUCAAGUAUAAUUUUAAAUAUUUUAUCUGUUUUGAAAGUAUUUAAAAUACUCUUUUACUACUGAAUUGAUAAUACUACUUUAUCAAAUAUAUAUAUUUUUUUGAUUCAUUUUAUUUUAAAUUUAAUUAUAUUUGUAAUCCUUAUUGUUAAAUACUUUGCCUUUAAAAUAUCAACUCGCAUUGCAUAUAGGUAUUUAAAAAUGAUAUCAUGUUGUACCAUAUUUAUUUUGAUUAGUAUUUGUUUUCAUAGAUAUCAUAAUUUAUGAGAGGGUAGCGAGACUUGUUAACAAUGGAUUUCAUACUUCAUAUUAUAUCUUGUGUUUAUCAUAAAGUAUGAUUUUUAAUUUUUGAUAUUCCUAUUGUAGUAUUAUUUUGCAUCAAAGAUAAACUGUAUUUAUAUCUUGUUUUAUAAUUAAAAUUAUUGAUAACGUUUUUAAAUUUGAAUAGGUACC